This 212-nucleotide ribosomal RNA is filed under the name uncultured bacterium. RNAcentral describes it as "partial 16S ribosomal RNA". It matches the Rfam family "Bacterial small subunit ribosomal RNA", at positions 1281 to 1500 of the family's 1533-position model. The record is from RNAcentral.
GCCGUUCUCAGUUCGGAUCGGAGUCUGCAACCCGACUCCGUGAAGCUGGAUUCGCUAGUAAUCGCGCAUCAGCCAUGGCGCGGUGAAUACGUUCCCGGGCCUUGUACACACCGCCCGUCAAGCCAUGGAAGCCGGGGGUGCCUGAAGUGCGCUGCCGCAAGGAGCGCCCUAGGGUAAAACCGGUGACUGGGGCUAAGUCGUAACAAGGUAGC